CUAUCUUUUCCUUUUAUUUUUAUCUUUGUUUUUCUGUAUUUCUUUAUCCUUUUCUUUUACCUUUCCUUCCAUCCUUGUUCUUCUUUACUGUUUCUCUAUCUUCAUAUUAAAAAAAAAGCUGCCUUGAUAGAUUUGAAAGUAGCUAAACAAAUUUCAUGCAUUAGAUAUUUAUAUAAUCUGCCAAUUUAGAUGUUAAAAAUUAGCAUAUUCUACUGUUAAAAAGCUUAUAGAUAUAUGAUAGAUUUAACUUUUAAUGUAUUACAGAAUUAGUGGUACACAAUUUAUUAUGUGAAAUCUUUAUGAAAAUGUGAAAAGUUUUAAUGUAUUAAUUGAGAAACUUCAUGUAUUAAGUGUUAGGGGAUGAGUGUGAGGGAAGAUUACUGUGAAGAAAGAACCAGGUGUAAGGUGAAGGAAGUUUGCAUUAAUCAGGUGUGAAGUAAUAAGUGAAGGAAGUUUACUGUAACCAGGUGUGAAGCAAUAAAGAGAAGGAAGUUUACUGUAAUCAAGUAUGAGGUAAUUAAGUCAAGUUAGGUGAAGAAAGAACCAGAUAUAAAGUAGUGCAGUUGAAUUAGAUGAAGAAAAAAUACCAGGUGUAAAAUUGUGAAGUAAGGUGAAGGAAGUUUAAUGAAUGUGAGCAGGUAUGAGGUAAUUAGGUUAUUAGGUUAAAUAAAUCAAGAACUAAAUAUGAGGUAGUGAAGUUAGGUGAAAGGUGAAGAAGUUAACUAUAAACAGAUGAGGUAAUAAAAGAAGUUAGGUGAAGGAAGAACCAAGUGAGAUAGUGAAGUUAGGUGUAAGGUGAAGUGAGCAGGUAUGAGAAGUUAGGUUAGAUGAAAGUUUAGGUGAGAGAAGGUACCCAGAUGUGAGGAAGUGAAGUUAGAUAAGGUGAAGGAAGUUUAUAAGCAGGGAUAGUCAUGUUUAUUGGUCUUUUUUUCAUAUAUUUUCUUGCCAUUACUGUAUAUAUGAAAAGUGAGGUAGAGGUUCCUUGGGUGAUGAUAGGUUAGGUUAGGUGAAGGAAGUUUUUGAGGAAAUGAAGUUUAUUAUCAGGUACUGUCACCAUUGUGCAUUUUUUCUCUUGCGUUUGACUCGUACAGAAGAAAAAAAAUACUAGAUAGAAGUUUCUGGGGUGAUGUUAGGUUAGGUGAAGGAAGUUUUUGAGGAAGGAAGUUUACAAGUACAGACUGUCACCAUAAUACGCAUUUUUUCUCUUGCGUUUGACUGUUGCACAAGAAAAAAAAAAUACCAGAUGAAAGUUUUUGGGGUAAUAUUAAGUUAGAUUAGGUGAAGGAAGUUUUUGAGGAAAGGAAGUUUAUAAGCAGGGCCUGUCACCGUUAUGCUCUUUUUUUCUCUUGCGUUUGAUCCGUGCACAAGAAAAAAAGGUGCAAGGUAAAAGUUUGAGUGAUAUUAGGUUAGGUUAGGUGAAGAAACAUUUUGAGCCAAGGAAGUUUAUGAGUAGGACCAGUGACCAUAAUGCACCUUUUUUUUUUUUUUUUUUUUUUCUCCCAUGUUUGACCAGUGCACAAGAAGAAAGAGGCAAAGUAGAGAUUCCUGGGGUUGAUAAUUAAGUUCGGUUAGCUGAAGGAACAUUUUGAGGAAAGGAUGUUUAUGAGUAGGGCCUGUUGCCUUAAUAUGCUUUAUUUUCUUUUGCCCUUAACCAGUGUCCCUAUACAAGAAACAAAAGGUGCAAGGUAGAGGUUCCUUAGGUGAUAUUAAGUAAGGUUAGAAGGAACAUUUUAAUUAAGAAUAAGGCCUUUUUUUUUUUUCCACAUAUAUCUUUGGUGAGUGCCCUUGUAUAAAAAAAAGUGAGGUAAAAGUUCCAUAGGGUGAUAUUGAGUUAGGUUAGAUAAAGGAUUGUUUUACGGAAAGAAAAUUGGUUAGGUGAAGGAACAUUUUAACCCUUCAGUACCGUGACGCAUUUUCACGUUUAUUCUGGUUACUAUUUGGUGAUUUCAUACAGUUCCAGAACUUGUGUGGGGAUUAAAAUGGUGAAGACUGGUCAUUAAUCUUCUGACCUUCCAACUGUCAAUAAAAUAAUAUAAUCAUAGCCUAAACUCAAGGUAAAAAAUCGUCCCAGUACUGAAAGAGUUGAGUAAAGGAAGUAUCAUACAUAAGCAGAGCUCUAUUUUUUUCCACACUUUUCUUUGGCCAGUGCUGGUCUUGUAUUAAAAAGCAGGUACAAGUUAGAGAUUCCUGGUGUGAUAUGUUGUUUGUUCCAGGUUAAGCAAGGAUAGAAAGCACAGUGUAGAAGCCAUUAAGACUCCCUCCACAUGAAACCACUGCUGGCGACUGACGAUAGCUAUUGAAGGGGUUAAUUACUAAGAGGACAUGAAUUUGGUUUAACAUGGAGUGUAUGGUUAACCCUGCCACUGAGGUAACCUGGUGGCGGCAAACAGGGGACGUCAUAUGGAAGGAGUCUUGACACUUCUACUGCUUUCUGUCUUGUGUUGCUGAGUUACUUUGCGUCCAUUUCCGAGUAAUCUAGCGCUGGAUUUGAUAUUUUUGUAUGCGUACUAAUAGGAGGGUGGUGGAAUGUCUGUUUGUGUGUGUUUUUAUAAGCUAUCAAAAUGAAAACUGAUAAAAAAAUGAAGGUUAACAAGUGGACUCUGCUUUAAUGAAAUAGUGAAGUGAAAGGAGAAAUUAAUGUACUUAUGCUUAAUUUUGACUAAUGUUAGUGUGAUCUUUAUUUCAACAAUCUGUAUCUUGUCUAAACAUUUAAGAUAGUUAUAAUCCUGCCUUGAAAUUUUUAAGUCCUCAUUGUUAGUAUUAGUGGCAAAAGAUGGGAGUUUAUGAAGAGAAGUGUGUUGGCAUGUUGAGGUGUUGUCCAAUGUUGAGAGCUACCCAGAUGUCAUGUGUUGCCUAUAACCUGAUGAAUGUGUCGUACCUGCUUCCCUAACCUAACCUAAUCUAACCUAACGUGAAUUUUUUACUUAGGGAAUAUGCAUUAAGUCUUUUAUGUAUAGCUUACUCCAUCAAAUCUCUAUUUCCUCCUAAUCUAACCUAGUCUAAUCUAACCUCACUUGAAUUUUUACUUAGGGAACGUGUAUUAAGUCAGUUACCCAUUGCUUACUCCAUCAAAUCUCUUUAUUUACUUCCCUAACCUAACCUAACCUAAUCUAACUUAAUCUAAUAUGUUCUGUUCUAAUGUAACUUGAAUUUUUACUUAGGGAAUAUGUGUUAAGUGUGUUACCCAUUGCUUACUUCAUCAAGCCUUUUUAUUCUCUUCCCUAACCUAACUUAACCUAACUUAAUGAAACCAAACCUCUUUACUUAACCUGAUUAUUUAUUUAUGUAUUUUAUUUAUUUAUUUAUGUAUUUUAUUUAAUUAAUAUUUUCUGCCUAGGGAACAUGGAUUAAGAUUGUUGCCCAUAACCUUCUUCAAUAUUUUCUCAUUUUUUCUCUAACAUUAUUUAUUUUAUUUAUUUAUUUAUUUAUUUAUUUUUUUGUACUUAGGGAACAUGUAUUGAGUUUGUUGCCUAUACCUCAUCAAAUCUAUUCUUUCCCUAAUCUAACUUGACAUUUCCCGAACUCAACCUACCUUUCCCUAACCUAAUGAUUUUUUUCCCCAACAUAACUCCAUCAAACCUUAUUUUCCUUCCCUAACCUAAUUCUUGGCUGAGAGAUCAUCUUACCUCAUUCCCUAACUUAACCUUACCUUACCUUACCUUAACCCAAUCCAACCCAACCCAACCAAAUCCAGUCCAAUCUAAUCUAAUCCAACCCAACUAAAUUUUUAAAUGGUAAUUCUAUAAAGGGAAAAUUGUAACAGUAACUGCUGCUCUCCUAAGUGUUUAAGGUGUUUGGAGGCUGCUAUUGAGCUUGUUUGCCUUAUGGUGUGUGUGAUGCUGAGCUGUAGGGAAGGAUAAAGGGCUGAGAGGUGCAUAAGAUUCUUCAUUGCUUGUUUACACUAUUCAUUGUCUUGUAUUUACUGUAUUCACCAAGAAAGUUUUAAGUCAAGGUUUUUCAUUGUUUACGUACACUAUUCAUUAUCUUUAAGAAAUUCGUAAGCUAGAAUUCAUCAUUGCUUAUUUUACACUAUUUACUAUCUCAAAUUUUGUAUGUCAUGUUAAUUUUACCUAUUUUUUCUCAUUCUUUCUAUUUUGCCUUUUUUUUUUUCCAUCAAAACUCUUCAAGCUUGUUCUAGUUUUACUCUUUUCCUUGUCUUCCUCCAUUAUCUCUUACUUCUAUUCCCAAACCAUCAUAAACCACAUUCUAGUUUACCCACUGUCUGUUCUUCCACUGUGUUUUCCCCCAAUUCUCUCCCUCUAUCAAUUCUUUCCCUCCCAAAUAAACCACUUCAAGAAUGUUAGACUACUGUAAUAAUGUCACUGCUUAUUUGGGUGUAGUGGUGUGGUAAACUGGCUGCCUGUUGCUACUCCAUUCUCUCGUGUUUUCUAGAUGACAAGGAAACGGGGGAAUGGAAUCACGUGGGUUGAGUCUUCUGGUUGUGGCUACUGUAAGGGAAAUGUAUGUAGAGGGAGAGGAAUUGUGUGGGAGAUUGUAAAGGUUAAGUGGAGUGUACUUGCCCUAUUCUGAAACACUUCUGUCACAUUGCCACUUUUGAUAGACUAGUUGAAGUGGUGCUGGUUUUUUAGCUUGUGAGUUUCUAGUGACAGAUUAAUGAGCUUUCUGCAUUAUGAACAGGAGAAACUUUGAGAACCUGGCUAAUUGUGUGGCCUUGGAAAAUGGUAAAGGUGAGAGAGCAAAGUGUUUUAAGGAUGUUUUUAUGGUUAUAAUAAGACUAAUGGUAUUUCUGCAUUAUGAACAAGGGAAAUGGUCUUAAAAACUUGACUGAUCAUCUCUGUGGCCUUGAAAAACAGUCAUGCUGAGAGAACAGAGCAAAGUGUUCCAGAAUAUGGCCAUUGGCACUAAUGAAACGCUUCCCUCUCUCACUGUGGCCAUUUUCAAAGACUACAGAGUUCUAAAGCUGGGUUCUAGAGUAUUUGUCCUUUUGAUAAUGUAGAAAACUUAACAUGUCACUGGAAUUACAGAUACAUCCUUAAAAACCUGUCACUUCAAAUAGACUCCUUUGAAAAUAAUGAAGGUGCAGUGUGGAAGUGUUUCAGAAUAUGGGCCAUUGAUUGGUGAUGAUUGUGUUGUGUACUUUGAUGAAGCUUUGCCAUAUGUAAAUUAUAGACUAAGAACGAUUCAGUCAUUUAGCAUUUUCAUCAUGGACCUUCCCUCAGUGUGGCCAGCAUGCCUGACAAACAUUGGUGGCACAGUAAUGUUUUUAGAAGCACUGACUCUCCACAAAAUCAAGUAGAAAGAAUAGUGUGAAAGUUAUUGGGUGUAUUUUCCUACCGUUGGUCACAUGAAAGUGUUAAUGUACACGUGUAACUUUAAGGUAUACAGUGUUGUGUACUAUUUUUGUACUGUAAUUCCUGGUUCUUGUGUUUGUCCAACGCUAAACAACGCUAAACAAAGCCUGUCUGCCACUCACUACUUGCUGUGACUGAGUGGCAGGCAGUGGUGCAGUGAUGCCUCAAGUCUCUCAAAGUUGUGUUCGCUGCAUGAAUGGAGAUACAAGAUUCUCAUUAAAAUGUGAACUAAAAUGAAAUUUCUGUCUUUUACAACUCUUGGAAUUUUGAUACACUGGUCAAAUGGUAUUGGGUAGACUUGCAAUGUAGCCUAAGCAGUGUUGACCAGUGUUGCCUUUAGGACAUUAAACCUUUCACAUCCUGAACUCACUGUUGUGUUAGCUGUAAUGGGUUUAGUUUGAACAUUACAGAUGUUCAGAAAGACAGACACACUGCAUAGAGAUGAAGUUGUGCUUAAAGGUGGGCUGAGUAUACACUGAUGGGAGGACGACAGCAGAAUGUGUACGUAUACCAGUUUACCUGUCUCUAGUUGCUCGUUUAUCUUCUGUUUUUCUCCAUCUAGUUUUGCUGUUUUAUCCGUUUCAAGUACUGAAAUAUUGUGAAUUUUUAUUUACGUUGCUUUCAUCUUCCAAUUCUUGUUAUCUAACCUUGAUUUGCUAUUUUGUAGUCUUAUCUUUUUAUCUGCAUCAUUUAAACAUAACAUUGAUGUUAAAUUUUCAUCUUAGUUAUCAAUAGUUAUCAGUCGGUUAUCUCAAAAAUUCUUGUUUGUUGUUAAAUACAAUCGGUAUAGCUACCAUACUUUAGUGGUGAAGAUAGAUGCCAUCCUUGCAUCUGUUUAGUGCCUUGUGGUGUUUGCAGAUUGACUGGCAGCAGCUGAAACAAGGUCAACCAGCUGUUCCUUCACUGGCAAGCUGAAUGUGAAUGUGGCAGACUGGAAGAGAACAUUGAGACUCCAUACAUGACUGGCCAGCACUUUACUCAAGCUCUCCCUGCCUCCUUUUAUAAACACACUGAACCAAGAAGCCAUUGAAGUUUGUGUGGACUGAAGGAGAAACAGGAAGUGGUACACUUUGACAGGAGUUAAGGACAAGAAGCCACAGACCAGCCUUGUUUGGUGGUGAUCCUAUGGACUUCCAUGAAUCCUGGAGAGGAACACACACGAGGAGAAAACAGAAGACACAUGACACGACAC
This is a long non-coding RNA of Portunus trituberculatus (swimming crab), 6504 nucleotides long. RefSeq lists it as uncharacterized. The record is from RefSeq and is a predicted model, not a curated record. The transcript is spliced from 2 exons. NCBI's taxonomy places the organism in Eukaryota, Metazoa, Arthropoda, Malacostraca, Decapoda, Portunidae.